UGACACAGCAAUCUGUUUUUCAUGGAUCACUCCAGUUCGACGCAAACUAUCUAUCCGUUCCUGGGCGCCCUGAAUGACAACGGCACAGCCUUAAAAUAAGCACCAAAAUGACGGCUGAUGUAUUUUUAACUGCAAAUGGAUAUACUGCACCAAGAUUUAUUCAGGAAAAUACCAUUUAUGCAACAAAACUGAGGGGCUGACAACGCUACAUAACUCAAUAUCAUCAAUACAUAUCUUACGAUACAAAACUACAAGUUAACAAUAAGACUGCUGUUUACCUACUUUCAUCUGAAUUACUUCAUAAACAGUGAUAAGGGAAGUGACAGGAAAUGUCUAAAAAGUUAGACAAAUGUGUUCUAAUUUUUAAUAAAACUUGCCAUGGAGAAUA
Panthera uncia (snow leopard) is the source of this 388-nucleotide long non-coding RNA. RefSeq lists it as uncharacterized. The transcript is spliced from 2 exons. The record is from RefSeq and is a predicted model, not a curated record. NCBI's taxonomy places the organism in Eukaryota, Metazoa, Chordata, Mammalia, Carnivora, Felidae.